UGGGGGAUCGUCUAGAGGCAGGACGGCAGACUCUGGAUCUGUGGACCGAGGUUCGAAUCCUCGUCCCCCAGCCA
Molecule: transfer RNA, 74 nt
Filed under: Deltaproteobacteria bacterium
Lineage: Bacteria; Pseudomonadati; Myxococcota; Myxococcia
Description: tRNA-Gln
Rfam family: tRNA
About the family: Transfer RNA (tRNA) molecules are approximately 80 nucleotides in length. Their secondary structure includes four short double-helical elements and three loops (D, anti-codon, and T loops).
Source: RNAcentral